CUAAGUUUGAUGGCGACCGGCGCACGGGUGAGUAACACGUAUCCAACCUGCCGAUGACUCGGGGAUAGCCUUUCGAAAGAAAGAUUAAUACCCGAUGGCAUAGUUCUUCCGCAUGGUGGAACUAUUAAAGAAUUUCGGUCAUCGAUGGGGAUGCGUUCCAUUAGGUUGUUGGCGGGGUAACGGCCCACCAAGCCUUCGAUGGAUAGGGGUUCUGAGAGGAAGGUCCCCCCACAUUGGAACUGAGACACGGUCCAAACUCCUACGGGAGGCAGCAUGG
This 277-nucleotide ribosomal RNA is filed under the name uncultured bacterium. RNAcentral's name for it is "partial 16S ribosomal RNA". It matches the Rfam family "Bacterial small subunit ribosomal RNA", at positions 79 to 353 of the family's 1533-position model. The record is from RNAcentral.